AACGCACCUUGCGCUCCUUGGUAUUCCGAGGAGCAUGCCUGUUUGAGUGUCAUGAAAAAUCUCAACUGCCCCGGGGUUUUUGUGCCCGGGGGUGAAGUUGGACUUGGAGGCUUCGCUGGCGGCACUCGCGCCUUGCCGGCCCCUCUGAAAUGCAUGAGCCCCUCUUCCUGGUGGAGUGGCCCCGGCGUGAUAACUAUCUGCGUCGGGACGGCCCUCUGGUCCCGGCGGGCUUCACAACGAGAAGGCUUUCCGGGCCUUGAUCACAUUCGACCUCAGAUCAGGUAGGACUACCCGCUGAACUUAA
This 304-nucleotide unclassified non-coding RNA is filed under the name uncultured fungus. RNAcentral's name for it is "partial contains 5.8S ribosomal RNA, internal transcribed spacer 2, and large subunit ribosomal RNA". The stretch from base 1 to 52 matches the Rfam family "5.8S ribosomal RNA", at positions 103 to 154 of the family's 154-position model. Lineage: Eukaryota; Fungi. The record is from RNAcentral.